UUUCUCAAAGACUCCCUCCAGCUCCUUCUCAAGGAGAAAAGUUUCUCUCAACCCCUCCCUUAGGGGACCAAUGUCAAAAGAGGUCAUUUGCCCCCUUCCCACAUACUCCCAGGGCAUCCUGGAGCCCUGGUUAACAAAUGCAUUUAAAUUCCCACCGUAGCCAAAGGCUUUUUUGGUGGAGCCAGGUUAUUCUGGAUCAAUACAUGUGCCAGGACAUUUUUAAGCCAUUUAAUUGGUAUUCAAAUUGAUGGCCCAGAUUCCUUAUCCUUCACGGAAAUGGAUGCUGGAUGGUGCACAGGAUGCUGAGAUAUCCUGUGGAGGGUAUGCUUUGAAAAAGCUCUUGCAAUCUCAUCACUCCCAGCAGUCUCACAUAUAAAAUGUUUGAUAGCUGACAAUUUAACACAUCCAACCAGAAACAAAUCAUCAUUGUUAUGCAUCACUGAUGGGCCAUCCACUAAGCAGAUGUGUGAGAAUUUGUGUUGUAAUUACCUACAGAAGAGUUGCCAGCAGCUAUUGCCCCUGAAAAUUUUUUCAGGCACACAGGCAUAUUUUAUAUCUAUUGUCUAAUAUGCUGGGAAUCAAAGGUACUUUGGCAGCAGUAUUAGCAAACCAACUAUCUGUAAUAACCUAUUUGGUGUCCUGAGUCUCAAACCAGUACUCUUCCUAAUUACUCUUAACUCCUUAAUUUUCACUGUUUGUCUUAGUCUGUUUUCUGUUGCUAUAACAGAAUAUCUGAGACUGGGUAAUUCAUAAGGAAAAAAGGUUUAAUUGGCUCAUGAUUCUGGAGCCUGGAAAGUCCAAUAUCUGGUGGCCACAUCUGGUGAGGACCUCAUGCUGUUUCAACUCAUGGUGGAAAACAGAAGGGAAAGAGGUAGUGUGUAAAGAGACCAAACAUGAGAAGCAGCCUCCCUUUAUAAUGACCCACUCUCGAAGUAACAAAUCUAGUCCCACAAGAGCAAAACUCACUCACUCCUAUGAGAUAGCAUUAAUCCUUUCAUGAGGGUAGAUUCCUCAUGACCUAAACAGCUCUUAAAGGUCUCACCAACUCUCAUCACCCUUACCCUGGGGACCAAGACAACAUGACUUCUGCUAGGGUCAAACGAUAUUCAAACCAAAGAACUGUUUAUCUUAGGUUGCAACUAUAUUUGUGUGUGUGGUUUUUUUGUUGUUGUUGUUUGUUUGUUUUCGUUUUUGAGAUAGUUUGGCUCUUGUUGCCCAGGAAGUUAGUAACAUUUGUAGAUAAUCAGUGUUUAUCAAUGGCUUCACAUUGAUUUACAGCCCACCUCCCUCAAACUAAAACUUGAGGACUUCUCAUGCAAAGCACUGCUUUCAUGGAGAUAGCAUAGGGCAUUUAGACCAAAACUUGGAUUCUAGCUUUAGCGCCAAUGCUUGCCAUGUGGCAUUACUGUAGUUGCCCCCCAAGCCUCAGUUUCCUUACUUGUAAAAUGGAUAUGACAGUAGCAACUUCAGAGAUAAAAUAUGCAUAAACCAAUCCCAUCUAUUUUAUAACUAGUGAGUGUCAUUGUUCAGAAAUCAAACAUUUUAGCACUGAAAUAUGCAGCUGGCUGUAAUCGUGGAAUGACAUUGCUCUGCCUGGUUUUACUGGCUUGAAUUUCUGACAGUGCUUCCAGCUGCCUAGUUUUCCAUUCGUCCAGUCCUAUUGUUUACAUGGAAUGACACCCAAGAUUUCCUGAAGCUUAUGGCUUUAUUUGCACUUCUGGCUUUGCUGACUCCCCGUCGAGUGCUGUCAGCAAAGUGAGCAAGAGCAGCCCUGGGCUCAUCAGCCA
This 1787-nucleotide long non-coding RNA is filed under the name Homo sapiens (human). RNAcentral describes it as "HSALNT0219768". The record is from RNAcentral. Lineage: Eukaryota; Metazoa; Chordata; Mammalia; Primates; Hominidae.